GAUGAAGAACGUAGCGAAAUGCGAUAAGUAAUGUGAAUUGCAGAAUUCAGUGAAUCAUCGAGUCUUUGAACGCACAUUGCGCCCCCUGGUAUUCCGGGGGGCAUGCCUGUCCGAGCGUCAUUGCCGCCCUCAAGCACGGCUUGUGUGUUGGGCCCCCGCCCCCCGGCUUCGGGGGGCGGGCCCGAAAGGCAGCGGCGGCACCGCGUCCGGUCCUCGAGCGUAUGGGGCUUCGUCACCCGCUCUGUAGGCCCGGCCGGCGCCCGCCGGCGACCCCAAUCAAUCUUUCCAGGUUGACCUCGUAUCAGGUAGGGAUACCCGCUGAACUUAAGCAUAUCAAUAAGCGGAGGA
Molecule: unclassified non-coding RNA, 348 nt
Filed under: soil metagenome
Description: partial contains 5.8S ribosomal RNA, internal transcribed spacer 2, and large subunit ribosomal RNA
Rfam family: 5.8S ribosomal RNA (bases 1-120)
Source: RNAcentral